Long non-coding RNA from Triticum dicoccoides, 275 nucleotides. RefSeq lists it as uncharacterized. The record is from RefSeq and is a predicted model, not a curated record. The transcript has 3 exons. Lineage: Eukaryota; Viridiplantae; Streptophyta; Magnoliopsida; Poales; Poaceae.
UCAUCAUGUUUCCUUUUUCAGGAAAUUUAGCUUAUUUUUUGAGGUCACCUAAUCUUCUACAACCUUGGCAAUGGCGGCUGCCUCUUCUUGGUUCAGAGGUGAUCGUUGUUGUGAUGAAGCUGCAGAGGUGGCAUAGGUUGAGGGAACUUGGUAAGCUCAAGGGACACGUCGAAGUUGGUUUGUCAACUAGAAGGCGCUCGACAUCGAGACUGUCCAGCAGUUUGUACACGGUGGGAUGAUAUGGGCUUACAUGACUGCCUCUUCAGCUACAACUA